This is a long non-coding RNA of Pseudopipra pipra, 4425 nucleotides long. RefSeq lists it as uncharacterized. Lineage: Eukaryota; Metazoa; Chordata; Aves; Passeriformes; Pipridae. The transcript has 3 exons. The record is from RefSeq and is a predicted model, not a curated record.
GGGAGAACCCGGGACCGCGGGAGCGGUUGGGUUGGAAGGGGCCUCCGAGGGCGGCAAGAUCAGACUGUGACCGAGCGCCGCCUUGUCAAGGCACCAAGUGCCGCUUCCAGCCUUGCCUUUAAUAACAGUGACUCCACCACCUCCCUGGGCAGCCCAUUCCAAUGUCUAAUCACUUUUUAUGAGAAGAAAUUCUUCCUUAUGUCCAACCUAAACCUCCCCUGGUGCAGCUUGUAAUCAUUUCCUUCUCGUCCUGGGAGCAGAGCCCGACCCCCCCCCCCGGCUCCCCCCUCCUGUCAGGGAGUUGCAGAGAGUGAUGAAGUUCCCCUGAGCCUCCUUUCAUCCAGACUAAAUACCCCCAGCUCCCUCAGCUGCUCCUCACAGGACACGUUCUCCAGACCCUCCACCAGCUCCAUUGCCCUCCUCUGGACUCGCUCCAGCCCCCCAAUGACCUUCCUGCACUGAGGGGCCCAGAACUGGACGCAGCACUCAAGGUGUGCCCUCACCAUUUCCAAGUGUACCUGGUACUGUACCCGGGCUGAGCCCCUCAGCCACACAGGCUGUGCUCAGGUGCUGGUGGUGGUGUUUGCUCUGGGACCUGGGUUUGGUGUGUGCUGGUACAGGCUGGCUUGUGCUUAGAAGCCUUCCAGAUACAGACUUUACAAACGCAGUUGGCUCAGACUUCGCUGAACUCGCUCAGAUUAUAGUUACAGAAUCACAGAAUAUUCUGAGUUGGAAAGGACCCACAAGGCUCAUGGAAGUCCAACUCCUGGCCCUUCACGGGACACCCCAACAAUCCCACAAUGUGCCUGAGACAUUGUCCAAACACUCUUUUAACUGUGACAGGCUUGGUGCCUUGACCACUUCCCUGGGUCCUGAUAUCCAACCUAAACCUCCCCUGGCUCAGCCUCAUGACAUUCCCUCAGGUCCUGUCGCUGGUCACCAGAGAGAAGAGAUUGGUGCUGCCCCUCCUCUUCCCCUCCCGAGGAAGUUGGAGACUGGAGUGAGGUCUCCCCUCAGUCUCCUCCAGGCUGAACAGACCAAGUGACCUCAGCCGCUCCUCACACGGCUUCCCCUCAAGGCCCUUCACCAUCUUCAUAGCCCCUAGUUGUUUAAUCACAAUGGAACAAUUACAGUGUGCCAGCCCUGUGCCUGCUCAUCUUCUCUUGGCUGUGAGCUGAUGCAAACCCAAGUCGCUAUCUCAUUUCCCUCACAGGCAGUUGCUGCUGGUGAUCAGCAGCAGCUCUGUGUUAACCUGAAUGUGUCUCUGUUUGCCCUGGAGGCUUGUCCCAGUUCAGUUGGCUGCAGGGACCAUCCCUGUGAAACCACAUGGGUCCAUCCCUAGGAAGAGCAAUCUGAGUGUGUGUUACCUCUGCAAGAGGUAAGAGAGUCACAAAUGCCCACUGCAGGCUUCUCAUCUCCUGCCAGGGAAAGCAGUGCAGGGAAGGUGUAUGGCUUGUGGAAGGGACCACACCUGACAUGUGUAAGACUUCAUUUCCUUGCAGCUGUGGUUUUCAGAGAGUCUGCUGUCAAAACCCAGGCCCCCACAACUCUUACUAAAGGAGCUACUUGAGCAGAGUCACUUGGGCAGUACGAGGUUUUCUCAGGCUGUUUUUGUUGAAUGCCUGAUGGUGGCAGCAGCAGAGAUCACCUUCAUGAAGAAGUGCCAACUGCCUUCCCGUUUUAGGCCAUGUGCUUUGGAGCAGCACAAGCAAUGUGCACAGCCCAGAACACUGAAAAUCACUUUCUGAAAGUCCAUUUUUCUUUUCUUAGCUUCUUUCUGUGUGUUCUUUCAUCUAAAUAGUCAAACUGAGUUGAAUCCAAUUUCCCCUCUUAUAGCCACAGUGACAUGAGAGGGAAGAAAAUGUGGACACCACAGGAUAUGGAUACCCCAGCGUGGGCUCCACCUGCGUAGUAGUAUAACUGCUUCCUGCAUCCAUUGGUUUCCUUGAAUUCAAAUAGACAUCACAGUUGCUUUUGAUUUUGAGGCUGUUCCCUUCAGGCUCAACACCUGCUGUCAGGCUCUGAGUGUGUAUUUGAACAUGUGUGCACAAGUGCAGCACUGGGUCAGUGAACUACCAGGCUCUGAGUUAAGGAACCUUCUGUACCCCUUGCUUCUCAUUAGUGCUUCAUUAAGGGACACCUGAAGGUCUGUGAGACAGAAGUUCAGUUUUGUCUCUUGGUGAUAAACCAGGGCUGCUGAAAAGUGCCAGCUGGAUUGAGAUUCUGCUGGGAAGGUCACUGGCUGAACAAGGAGCAUUGGCUGGUUAAGCUACUCAGUUUAAUUGCACAUAUGUUGCCUAAAAUUUGGGAGCAUUCUUGCUUAAAAACCACUCAAAACCUAAAAGUAGAAGCAAGUAAACUAUUUGUACAUUAGAAAGUAAGUCAGGUAGACUGUGGGUGAGCUGUGCCAUAGUCUGCAGCCUUGGAUUUGGAGAGGAAAGGAGCAAUUAUGGAAAGUCAUGACCACGGCAGAGGUGUUGGAGGUCUUUGUGCCACUGCUGAGGGCUGAAAGUGGAGCAGUGAGCAGUGAAGCUGAGUCAGGACACCUGUGGAGCAGUGACUGUCGGUAGAGAGCAGCAAAAACACCAGCCAUUCCUUGGGCCAUUUCCUUAAAGAGCAGUGCAGGAUGGCGUGUCUGUGUUCAACCCUGCACACCAGGACAUCACUCCGAUGGACAGACGUGCUCACCCAGACGAGUCCCCUGGGGCUGGGCAGCAAACUGUGUGCCCAGGGGUGGCUGGGCCUCAGUGGUUGCUUUCCCUCAGCUGUGGGAGCUGCAUUGUGGCAGCAAGAAAAGGGUUAUUGCUCGGAUUUCCUGAGGAUGGCUGUCUCAUCUACACAUGAUUAUUCACAACUUCUAAGUUAAUGUAUUCUAAACCGAUGUCCUUCCCCCCUCCCCGGAAAGUUAUAUUUGUUUAAAACUCUUUGUUUAAACACUUGGCUUGCAGGUGGGGAAAUAUUGCUCAUGCUUUGUUAUGAAGGCAGUGUAAUUCAGCUUCUCAGGUCUCUGUGCAAAAGCUUGAACUACUGCCAUUUAACAGGGGGGAUUUUCCACUUUGCUUUUUACUGAGCAUCUCUACAGUCUGAAGAUGGACCUUGUCGCUGCCAAAGCGCACCUGGUAAAAGCUGAUAUUUUUCCCUUAGCUCUGGGUCUGGCAUGGGCUAGAGCAGCUGCUAAACCUGGUUCUUCUUGACAUCAGAAGUUCAGAAUAAAUCUCCCGAGUGACACCAUAUGCACUCUUUUUCCAAAUCUUGUUGGUUGUCUCCUUUGCUGUCUUUAAGCCUGAUUCAAAUGGAGACACCUGAAGCUGGGGAAGGACUCUCCAGGGAUUUCAGCAGGCUUUAGGGAGAAGUUGAUGUACAAGGUGGAUAAGGCACCUGAAUGGGAGAUAUGUUCCAGGUGACACAAAAAUGAAGACACCAACAACUAUAAAGAAGUCAUGAGAGCAGUGCAGGUGAGUGCUGGUGAACACACCUCCUUCCAUGUCCUGGUUGCACCACAUCGGCUCGGAUUUACUAGAAACGAGUUUCAUUUUGUUAAGUAACAUAAGAAUCACGAAGAAAAACCUCUCCAUUGUUCUUACCAAUAAACACAGGGUCAGAAUCGCUGCUCUUAGUGUAACUGAGACAAACAUAUUAUUGCAGAACCCCAGCAGUCUGGGAGCAGAGCUCAGCCUUCCACUCCCUGCACUCAGCCACACUUAAGUUCUGUGACUCCAUUUCAAUGCCAAGUCACCCAGCUGAGUAGAAAUAACCCCUGUGGCAGCAGCACACACAGAGCUCGAUUGCUGCCCCUGUUUCUGUGUAACUGUGCCUUUUGGUUGCCAGGAUCAUGGAGAACUGUGGAGCUGCACUGUUCAUGAGCACUGGGUAGCUCCGUGGGAUUCUCGAACUCCAGAGAGAUCUGUCAUAACUCUUUCAAUAAAUAUAUUUACUCUUUCAAGAAGUAAAUAUUUGAAAGCAUACAGGACAACAUCAGCAUGCUGGAGUCAUACUUUUGUCCCAGGGGGUGACACUGCAGAUGGCUCUGUGCAUCUAGAGGUACACAGAGAUAUCAGAUAAAAGAGGAGCAGUAGAGCUGUCAGGGGCACGUGCUGAAUUCCAACUGCAGCUCAAACUUGAGACCUGCAAGAUCUGCCGUCUUCAUUUAGGCACCUCUGUAAAAGUUACUCACCAAACACAGUCACUGCUCCCUGUGGAGUCUCCCAUGAAGGUAAAUCCCUCCCCACUGAGCAGCCUCAUCCCGAGAUGUGGCAGACACAGUGAUACCCCAUUGCUGUCAGCAGAAGUUGAACUUGCUGCUGCAGUGAGUGAUGCUCAACAAAAUGGGCACUUAGACACGUGCCUUCAUUUUUCCUAUGGAAAGAGGAGUUUCUUGUAGCAGUUAAAAACAUUCUGUAUAAUAAAAAUUGUCUUCCAGCAUCA